This 428-nucleotide ribosomal RNA is filed under the name uncultured bacterium. RNAcentral's name for it is "partial 16S ribosomal RNA". It matches the Rfam family "Bacterial small subunit ribosomal RNA", at positions 354 to 796 of the family's 1533-position model. The record is from RNAcentral.
GUGGGGAAUAUUGGGCAAUGGGCGCAAGCCUGACCCAGCAACGCCGCGUGAAGGAAGAAGGCUUUCGGGUUGUAAACUUCUUUUACCAGGGACGAAACAAAUGACGGUACCUGGUGAAUAAGCCACGGCUAACUAGGUGCCAGCAGCCGCGGUAAUACGUAGGUGGCGAGCGUUAUCCGGAUUGAUUGGGUGUAAAGGGCGUGUAGGCGGGACAGCAAGUCAGAUGUGAAAACCAGAGGCUCAACCUCUGGCCUGCAUUUGAAACUGUUGUUCUUGAGUGUCGGAGAGGUAAUCGGAAUUCCGUGUGUAGCGGUGAAAUGCGUAGAUAUACGGAGGAACACCAGUGGCGAAGGCGGAUUACUGGACGAUAACUGACGCUGAGGCGCGAAAGCGUGGGGAGCAAACAGGAUUAGAUACCCCUGUAGUCC